This 430-nucleotide ribosomal RNA is filed under the name uncultured bacterium. RNAcentral's name for it is "bacterial SSU rRNA". It matches the Rfam family "Bacterial small subunit ribosomal RNA", at positions 354 to 777 of the family's 1533-position model. The record is from RNAcentral.
GUGGGGAAUCUUCCGCAAUGGGCGCAAGCCUGACGGAGCAACGCCGCGUGAAUGAAGAAGGCCUUCGGGUCGUAAAGUUCUGUCUUUAGGGACGAAUGCACGAUUGCGAAUAGUUGUUGUGUUGACGGUACCUGAGGAGGAAGCUCCGGCUAACUACGUGCCAGCAGCCGCGGUAAUACGUAGGGAGCAAGCGUUGUCCGGAAUUACUGGGCGUAAAGGGCGCGUAGGUGGACAUUUAAGUCAGAUGUGAAAACUCUGGGCUCAACUUGGAGAUUGCAUUUGAAACUGGACGUCUUGAGGGUAGGAGAGGAAAGUGGAAUUCCUAGUGUAGCGGUGAAAUGCGUAGAUAUUAGGAGGAACACCAGUGGCGAAGGCGACUUUCUGGACUAUACCUGACACUGAGGCGCGAAAGCGUGGGGAGCGAACGGGA